CUCCCCCCAAGCAUUGACCACGUGGCUAGACACCCCCACGGCCAAGCUCCACCCCUGAGCUUCAGCCCUUCAAGCCUCCGGUCGCCUAGUAACCGGCACACACCUAGGCCCUUCGCAGCCAGUGAUCCAGGCCAUGCCCUAAUGUCGCCUCAUCCCUCCUCUGUAUCUCAAAAGUCACAUGUUAGCCUCCUGCUUAUCCGGCCUCAGAGGCUGGGUGUUCCUACAACGACAGCCUCUAUACCCUAUUACACCCUCAUCACUAGGCCACGCCCCAGCAGAGGCCUCUUUCUCCGCCCACACAGCGAGCCUCAAAUCAAAGUCCCCGUAACCUGAUCGAGGCUCCUCCCCCAGAUGAAGGCCUGUGACCCCACCCCCUAGCCCACACUUGAUCUCUCUUCCCCCCCCAGAUCCCUCCCUUAACAUGUGAAACCUACGAGCCCUCCUCCCUCUGCAGUCCCAAGAUUCCGCCCCCAUCCGCACCUCCCCAAUCGGACCCGGGCCACUCUCCGGGUGAUGCCUAUGGCUCCGCCCACAGGCGUGGGCCCGCCCACAGUCCCUAGACUAUCGGGCAUUCGGGACCCAGAUUCUACCUGGGCCUCCGGCCUUGUCAGUCACUGCUCACGGAAAGGCCGGGUCCGUGCGGCCCACCCAGCGCCUAGCCCCGCCCCAAACCUUCCAAUCGGCGGCCAAAGGCUCUCAGCCCCUCAACCCUGCUCCGCACCGGCCGACCCCCUUCCGGAGGCUUGGAUCAUAGAGAGGACCCGCGGGCCAGAGAGCCCGCAACCUAACGAGACUCUCUAGCUAGAGCGGCCAGCCCAGGGUACCUACGAAUCUCCACGGCAACCAAGCGGUGAAAACAGGCAGGUGCUGAAGGCGGGGCUAUGGCUUCCGGGGGUGUGGCUCCGUCCCGCUAGAUCCCAGAAAGUCUCCAAGAUCCUCAUCCCCUCAUCCCCUCGCCGGAGAUGCCUAGCUCCCGCCCAGGGCCCGCCUGUGCUGGAGCUUGCCUGAUGCGGCUUGUCCUAGAUCCAAGCCCCGAGGCUUCUCAGCAUUCCAGACUCUGAGUCUAAAUUCACACCCGGGGUUGUGGGGGAGUGCUGCAGAGGCCUCAGUCUUGGAGAUAAGGAGCCCCAAACCCCAAUUCUACCUCCUAAACCUUAACAAGUCACAUCCUAGAACCCCAGAGCACACCAUCAGCUCCCAUCCUUCCUCUACAUGAGCCUUCCUUGCACGCCAGUGGCUCCCCCAAGAGAACCUACGGCACCCCAGAAUCCCUUGUUGUUCCCCAGGGGCAAGAUACCCCUGAGCCCUGUUAGCAUUCCAGAAUCCUAAGCACCUAUCCAGAGGCGCUCCAGUCCCUAGCACCCUGCUGGGAUGCCCCCACCCUUGCUGUCAAGCAGACCUUCUGAGGCUUGCAGACCCCUGGCCCUCGCUGCUCCCUCGCGGGCUCUCGCAGAAGACUGGACUGGGAACUUCUGAGCUCAGGCCUAGCUGGUAAAGACACUGAAUGAAGCCGGCCCCCCAGCUGGGAUUCAGCCCUACCGCCAGCCCUCCUCCUUGCUCGGGCCUCCUCCUGUUUCGAUGUUCCUGGAACAUCUCCUGUGCCCUUUGCCCCACUUCCGCCUCUCCCCAGACUGUGCCCUAUACUCCCUUCCUCUUUCUUCUCCCCUCCUCUUCUCCUACUUUAUAGAGUGCUAAGUGUAAGCAUCGGGCUUUUGACCCAUCAGAUUCUCUGCACCUGCUCCCCAGUCCUUGGUCCCCAAAAUCUGAGAGACUGAUGAUGGCAGGCUGACAAGAUGGCUCUGAAGGUAAAGGCGAUUACUGU
Mastomys coucha (southern multimammate mouse) is the source of this 1822-nucleotide long non-coding RNA. RefSeq lists it as uncharacterized. The transcript has 2 exons. Lineage: Eukaryota; Metazoa; Chordata; Mammalia; Rodentia; Muridae. The record is from RefSeq and is a predicted model, not a curated record.